ACCACACGGGAAAGUGCUACACGGCUAGCUCCUUUCAAAUCCUCCAGGGCUUGAUCGCAGCAAAGGUAGUUAGUUGUAGCAGCGCGAUGUGGUUAGCUUUCCCACCC
Molecule: non-coding RNA, 107 nt
Organism: Prevotella sp.
Lineage: Bacteria; Pseudomonadati; Bacteroidota; Bacteroidia; Bacteroidales; Prevotellaceae
Rfam family: Bacteroidales small SRP
About the family: The non-coding component of the signal recognition particle in Bacteroides
Source: Rfam